CUGAUCGGCCACAAUGGGACUGAGACACGGCCCAUACUCCUACGGGAGGCAGCAGUAGGGAAUCUUCCACAAUGGGCGCAAGCCUGAUGGAGCAACACCGCGUGAGUGAAGAAGGGUUUCGGCUCGUAAAGCUCUGUUGUUAAAGAAGAACACGUAUGAGAGUAACUGUUCAUACGUUGACGGUAUUUAACCAGAAAGUCACGGCUAACUACGUGCCAGCAGCCGCGGUAAUACGUAGGUGGCAAGCGUUAUCCGGAUUUAUUGGGCGUAAAGAGAGUGCAGGCGGUUUUCUAAGUCUGAUGUGAAAGCCUUCGGCUUAACCGGAGAAGUGCAUCGGAAACUGGAUAACUUGAGUGCAGAAGAGGGUAGUGGAACUCCAUGUGUAGCGGUGGAAUGCGUAGAUAUAUGGAAGAACACCAGUGGCGAAGGCGGCUACCUGGUCUGCAACUGACGCUGAGACUCGAAAGCAUGGGUAGCGAACAGGAUUAGAUACCCUGGUAGUCCAUGCCGUAAACGAUGAGUGCUAGGUGUUGGAGGGUUUCCGCCCUUCAGUGCCGGAGCUAACGCAUUAAGCACUCCGCCUGGGGAGUACGACCGCAAGGUUGAAACUCAAAGGAAUUGACGGGGGCCCGCACAAGCGGUGGAGCAUGUGGUUUAAUUCGAAGCUACGCGAAGAACCUUACCAGGUCUUGACAUCUUGCGCCAACCCUAGAGAUAGGGCGUUUCCUUCGGGAACGCAAUGACAGGUGGUGCAUGGUCGUCGUCAGCUCGUGUCGUGAGAUGUUGGGUUAAGUCCCGCAACGAGCGCAACCCUUGUUACUAGUUGCCAGCAUUAAGUUGGGCACUCUAGUGAGACUGCCGGUGACAAACCGGAGGAAGGUGGGGACGACGUCAGAUCAUCAUGCCCCUUAUGACCUGGGCUACACACGUGCUACAAUGGACGGUACAACGAGUCGCGAACUCGCGAGGGCAAGCAAAUCUCUUAAAACCGUUCUCAGUUCGGACUGCAGGCUGCAACUCGCCUGCACGAAGUCGGAAUCGCUAGUAAUCGCGGAUCAGCAUGCCGCGGUGAAUACGUUCCCGGGCCUUGUACACACCGCCCGUCACACCAUGAGAGUUUGUAACACCCAAAGUCGGUGGGGU
This 1143-nucleotide ribosomal RNA is filed under the name Limosilactobacillus fermentum. Its description in RNAcentral is "bacterial SSU rRNA". It matches the Rfam family "Bacterial small subunit ribosomal RNA", at positions 300 to 1436 of the family's 1533-position model. The record is from RNAcentral. Lineage: Bacteria; Bacillati; Bacillota; Bacilli; Lactobacillales; Lactobacillaceae.